GGGUGAGUAACACGUGGGCAAUCUGCCCUAAAGACUGGGAUACCACUUGGAAACAGGUGCUAAUACCGGAUAACAACAUGAAUCGCAUGAUUCAAGUUUGAAAGGCGGCGUAAGCUGUCACUUUAGGAUGAGCCCGCGGCGCAUUAGCUAGUUGGUGGGGUAAAGGCCUACCAAGGCAAUGAUGCGUAGCCGAGUUGAGAGACUGAUCGGCCACAUUGGGACUGAGACACGGCCCAAACUCCUACGGGAGGCAGCAGUAGGGAAUCU
RNAcentral lists this ribosomal RNA (267 nucleotides) under Lactobacillus delbrueckii subsp. bulgaricus. RNAcentral describes it as "partial 16S ribosomal RNA". It matches the Rfam family "Bacterial small subunit ribosomal RNA", at positions 104 to 364 of the family's 1533-position model. Lineage: Bacteria; Bacillati; Bacillota; Bacilli; Lactobacillales; Lactobacillaceae. The record is from RNAcentral.